UACGUAGGGGGCAAGCGUUGUCCGGAUUUAUUGGGCGUAAAGAGCGUGUAGGCGGCUUGGUAGGUCUCGCGUCAAAACCUGAGGCUCAACCUCAGUUCGCGUGGGAAACCACCUAGCUAGAGUCCGGAAGAGGAGAACGGAAUUCCCAGUGUAGCGGUGAAAUGCGCAGAUAUUGGGAGGAACACCAGUGGCGAAGGCGGUUCUCUGGGACGGUACUGACGCUGAGACGCGAAAGCGUGGGGAGCGAACAGG
RNAcentral lists this ribosomal RNA (252 nucleotides) under uncultured bacterium. RNAcentral describes it as "partial 16S ribosomal RNA". It matches the Rfam family "Bacterial small subunit ribosomal RNA", at positions 524 to 776 of the family's 1533-position model. The record is from RNAcentral.